RNAcentral lists this ribosomal RNA (465 nucleotides) under uncultured bacterium. RNAcentral's name for it is "partial 16S ribosomal RNA". It matches the Rfam family "Bacterial small subunit ribosomal RNA", at positions 28 to 507 of the family's 1533-position model. The record is from RNAcentral.
GACGAACGCUGGCGGCGUGCUUAACACAUGCAAGUCGAACGGAAAGGCCCUGCUUGCAGGGUACUCGAGUGGCGAACGGGUGAGUAACACGUGGGUGAUCUGCCCUGCACUUCGGGAUAAGCCUGGGAAACUGGGUCUAAUACCGGAUAGGAGCCAUUUUUAGUGUGAUGGUUGGAAAGUUUUUUCGGUGUAGGAUGAGCUCGCGGCCUAUCAGCUUGUUGGUGGGGUAAUGGCCUACCAAGGCGGCGACGGGUAGCCGGCCUGAGAGGGUGGACGGCCACAUUGGGACUGAGAUACGGCCCAGACUCCUACGGGAGGCAGCAGUGGGGAAUAUUGCACAAUGGGCCCAAGCCUGAUGCAGCGACGCCGCGUGGGGGAUGACGGCCUUCGGGUUGUAAACUCCUUUCGCUAGGGACGAAGCUUUUUGUGACGGUACCUAGAUAAGAAGCACCGGCUAACUACGUG